GAUGAACGCUGGCGGCGUGCCUAAUACAUGCAAGUCGAGCGAACAGAUGAGGAGCUUGCUCCUCUGACGUUAGCGGCGGACGGGUGAGUAACACGUGGAUAACCUACCUAUAAGACUGGGAUAACUUCGGGAAACCGGAGCUAAUACCGGAUAAUAUAUUGAACCGCAUGGUUCAAUAGUGAAAGACGGUUUUGCUGUCACUUAUAGAUGGAUCCGCGCCGCAUUAGCUAGUUGGUAAGGUAACGGCUUACCAAGGCGACGAUGCGUAGCCGACCUGAGAGGGUGAUCGGCCACACUGGAACUGAGACACGGUCCAGACUCCUACGGGAGGCAGCAGUAGGGAAUCUUCCGCAAUGGGCGAAAGCCUGACGGAGCAACGCCGCGUGAGUGAUGAAGGUCUUAGGAUCGUAAAACUCUGUUAUUAGGGAAGAACAAAUGUGUAAGUAACUAUGCACGUCUUGACGGUACCUAAGCAGAAAGCCACGGCUAAAUACGUG
RNAcentral lists this ribosomal RNA (497 nucleotides) under uncultured bacterium. RNAcentral's name for it is "partial 16S ribosomal RNA". It matches the Rfam family "Bacterial small subunit ribosomal RNA", at positions 28 to 507 of the family's 1533-position model. The record is from RNAcentral.